RNAcentral lists this long non-coding RNA (395 nucleotides) under Zea mays. Its description in RNAcentral is "long non-coding RNA (ZMAY_LNC001364)". Lineage: Eukaryota; Viridiplantae; Streptophyta; Magnoliopsida; Poales; Poaceae. The record is from RNAcentral.
AGUGCCCCAGGUCGGGGAGUGACGUCCACCCACGUCUGGCGGCCGCCUCCGCGAUCGACUAGCACCUGCAGGCCGCCCAUGCCGUCCUGCAGGAGGAUGGUGAAGAAACCGGUGUCCGAGUGCUUCCUGACGCCGAUGGUGAGGUGCGGCUCCGGGCAUGGCGGGUAGUACUGGCACACGAUGUGGAGCUGCUGCAUGCACUCCAUCUUGUGCAGGUGGUCGCUGGGCAUGCCGAGGGACUCCGACAGCAGCUCGAACAUGGACCGCGCCAGCUUCGUCAGUUCCUCGCCGUAUUCCAUCAUCACGUUCCUUACAUCAUAUCGUCAUAUCAUCAUCGUCCAACAAUAUAAUGCAUGCAAUAAUGCAACAAUGAGUCAGAAACUAAUGCGAUCUAC